This 253-nucleotide ribosomal RNA is filed under the name uncultured bacterium. RNAcentral describes it as "partial 16S ribosomal RNA". It matches the Rfam family "Bacterial small subunit ribosomal RNA", at positions 524 to 776 of the family's 1533-position model. The record is from RNAcentral.
UACGUAGGUGGCAAGCGUUGUCCGGAUUUACUGGGCGUAAAGGGCGCGCAGGCGGCUGGUCAAGUCCGAUGUGAAAUCUCCCGGCUCAACUGGGAAACUGCAUCGGAAACUGAUCGGCUUGAAGGUGGGAGAGGGUAGUGGAAUUCCCGGUGUAGUGGUGAAAUGCGUAGAUAUCGGGAGGAACACCAGUGGCGAAGGCGACUACCUGGCCCAUUCUUGACGCUGAGGCGCGAAAGCUAGGGGAGCGAACGGG